UGGCAAGCUCCUGUCCUGUAUCUGCACACCACAGAAGAAGAGAUACUCAGAGGUCAGCACUACCAAUCCUUCCUCCAGCAACUCCCAGGGGUCAAGGAGCGCCCAGAACACAGGAGAGUCGCAGAUAUGAAGUCACCAAACCCCCACAAUGCACUUCUCUACUCCCCCUGCCAUGACAAAGGUUCCCACUAGAUGGCCAAACUGUAAAGUCAAAAUGGUCGAUAUUGUAAACAUUUCUGAAAACAAAGAUUUGGGUUUAGCGGUGUGGUUAAGGUUAGGGUUAAGAUACAUUGUAGAAAUGGGCAGGGUGUCUGAUUUAGCAUCUUGCCAGAUAGUGACAACCCAGAGGAUAGUACUUUUCAGGUUAGUAGAAAAUGUGUCCAACUAGCCAGCCAGAUAGUAAAAAUUGUGCUCCACUAGCCAGGCUGGCCAGCGCCCAAAUUCCUUAAGUUCCACCCCUGAUUAGACACUUCAUACCAAACUUGAUGUUAACCACUGUCUUAUCAAGCAUUAGGUUAUCCAUUCAGAAAUUAUAUGAUCUUCAUGUCAUCCAAUAGCAAUCCAUAUGAUCUUUAUGUCAUCCAAUCAGAAGUUAUAUGAUCUUCAUGUCAUCCAAUAGGAAUCCAUAUGAUCUUUAUGUCAUCCAAUAGCAAUCCAUAUCCUCUUUGUCAUUUUUACAGCCACAAAAGAAAGGUACUAUUUUACACCACCUCGUCAAAAAGACAGAUGAAACCAUAAUCAUGAACAUAAGCUUUCUUCUUUUACAUUUAUGUGAUAAAUUUAUAGUCAUAUUUAUUACCAAGAGCACAAGAUAUGAUCACUUUUCUACACAAAUACAUUUUUAGAAAAAUGUAAGAUUAUGUGAAGAUAUGUGUUAGUUGUGACCAAAUGGAGUGUUAUACUGUAAAUGUGUAUUUAUCUUUAACACUUUAUUAAUAACUUUUAAGAAUAAGCCUUUAUAAAUGAAUGUGUAUGUUUAUAAAUUAUUGUAAAUGUUGUAAAUUCUUAUGGAAUGGAAGGCUAUUAAUGCUUACACAUUCUUAUAAAUGUUUAUAAAUGUUUCCAAAUAUAAUUGUUAAUAGUGUAUACAUUGUUAAAAGGUUUAUUCAAGAUAGUUAUUAUAAAGUGUUACCAUGGCCACCUCUAUGUAUAUAAUGAGAUAUUAGAAGAUUUGUUGUGAACACUUGCAAUGCUUUUGUCCGAAUACAGCAUUUAUCAACAGGUUUUUUUUUUUUUAUCCCUGUGGGAAGAUUCCCUGAAUCAUGGGGGAAUUAACAGGAAGUCCGGAUUCUCCAACCGGGAUUGUCACUCAUUGCUCCAUCUUAAAACUCUUGUUUUAUUUAUUACUGGCCAACAAAAUAUAGUGUAGCAAUUUGAGAGGAGUUACCCCGACCUGGACUUAACCACAACAAGUUGUGGGACGACCGGUUUGUUGCUUUUUGAAUCCCAUGAUCAUGGAGGUAAAGUCUUAAAACGAUGUAAAAAAUGUAUUUUAUUCUAUUCUGUUGCACUUUUACUUCCACAAGUUGUGUGUUUUAUACUUUUUGAGAACGUACCAUUUUCAUGUCCUUUUAUCAACCAAGUUCUGAAUGUAAGCACUUAGUGUUGUACUUCACUGUGUAGUGUGUGUGUGAGUGAGAUAGAGAGAGAGAGAGAGAGAGCGAGAGAGAAAGAGCGAGAGAGAGUCUGGGUGUGUUUCGGUACGUCUGUAAUUUUAGCCACAAUUAAAAUAUAGUUACAAAUAA
Coregonus clupeaformis (lake whitefish) is the source of this 1745-nucleotide long non-coding RNA. RefSeq lists it as uncharacterized. The record is from RefSeq and is a predicted model, not a curated record. NCBI's taxonomy places the organism in Eukaryota, Metazoa, Chordata, Actinopteri, Salmoniformes, Salmonidae. The transcript has 2 exons.